UUUUGAGCCUUUUGUAGCGUCCUGCUGGACCAACAUAACCUGCCAGCACCCAUCCCUAACAUCUGACUCAUAACAUGCUGCUCACCCCCCCUAGAAUAGGUAUAUAAAGCGGUGUUACCUACUUCUUCGUAAAUAUAAGGCUAAUAGCUGGAAGAUCAGCAAGGAGUUUGAGAAAGCUCUCAUGCUGCCCAAUAUAAAGGAUAUGACUAGGUAUGUCGAUUUUGAUUGAAGAGUUUCUAGAGCCCGCUGGAAAGAAACCUGCUGGAACCAAGUAACCUGUCAGCAAUCGUCCUCAAUAUAUGACUACUGCUCAUCUCUAGUAUAAAAGUUACAUGGACCAUGAAAGAAGGCUAGUAUGGGACACUAGUAGUUCUAUCAUUCAAAACUCACUCUUAUUGAAUGUUAUCUAUAAGAGUGACUUCAAAAGUUAAUCGUGGAGAAGCUCGCAAGGAGUUCGAGAAGGUUCUAGUGCUGCCCAACAUGGAGGACAUACUGAUUGACGUCAUGACCCCCACGCCUGUGGACUACGAGUAGGAUAUGACUAGGUGCAAUAUUAACGAAGCCGCUGAAAAAAGGGGCAGAUUCUAGAGGAGGUACUAAAGAAAUGCGACUGAACAGAAUGAAGACAAGUUGAGUAAUUAUUUUGAGCACAUUAUAGUGCACUUUAUAAAUGUAGAAUUUAUUUAUUUGACUGGACAAAACUUGCCAAAUGUAUUUUUGAACAUCUAAAGUAUUUUAUUCGCCUUGAUUUCGUUUAAAUUGUUUAUUGUAUGGAAAAGUAUGCGUUUCUGUCAAUACUCUCUGCAUUUAGGUUUAACUAGUAGAUUUCCUGUGUGUUUUAGGUAGAUUUGUAAUUUAUGUGCAACAAUUACAUUCAAUGUAUCAAAAACGCAACUAACCCUAUAUCAUGAAGGAUUUUUGAAAUGGAGCAGUAAGGGCAUUUACACUCGUAAACAAGUAAAUGUCAUAAAGAAACAUCCCCUGACUUUUAGAGUUAUUUUAACUCCAUUCACUGAUUGAAAAUAAAUUAAACAAAAUGCCCUGUCUCAAAAAUCCAUUUUGUCUCACUGACCCACACUGGUUUAUUUUACAAAAGACUUCUUGAUCACAAAUCGAGGUCAUCCUGCGUAAACAAAUGAGAAACGAAAUUAGUGUAGCAUUUAUCUCUAGAUGUAUAUUAGAUAUUAUAUUUGAAUUCGGUGGCCCUCUUCAAUCUGUGCUAACAUAAAUGACUAAAGAAUAUUGGAUUGCUGACUGGUAAAAUUCCCCUUCUCCUUGUUAAAGUAGCAAGUAUACUUAUUUUUAACUACCGGGUCGAAUUCACGUCGAUGUUGUAUAUUUAUCAUAGAACGCGUCUUCGUCAACUUAGUUGAACCCUAUUUUUAGUCUCUGCCCUGUGUCAUAGACACGACAAAAUUAUUUGCUAGGGAAGCUCCUAAAGAAAUCGUAUAUAUUUUUUGAGUGAAAUUAAACCAUUUUUAUAAUUGCGUAGUUGCUUUAAUAUUAAUGUUUUUCAUUUAGUUAUUUUUCUACAUAAGUGUGCUGGUGUAUCUAAACGUAUCCAUUAUUUUCUGUGAUGUUCUGUUACACUCAGUAAUUUUAGUUAAAAAAGUGCUUUUUCGUCUCAAUUUUAUUUUAAUCUACGGGAUUUAUAAAAUACCUGAGAAACGGCUGCACACAAGUUCGUAGAAUCUUUUAGAGUAUGAUAAUUAUUAAAACUGCACUUUUUUUACUAUGUUAUAAUUUUAAAUGGUGCCUCAAUGUUCACUUUUGC
Molecule: long non-coding RNA, 1774 nt
Organism: Ostrinia furnacalis (Asian corn borer)
Lineage: Eukaryota; Metazoa; Arthropoda; Insecta; Lepidoptera; Crambidae
Exons: 2
Source: RefSeq, a predicted model, not a curated record